CAACCACAGAGCUCAUGACAGUUACUGCAACACAUUCCUGUUCAAGUCAAAGAUUAUAAAACUAGAACCUUAAUACCUGAAAUGUGCAAUAUCUGAGUAAUUUAUAGUAUUCCCAUAAAAAUCCCAAAGGGAAAUCUCAGAAAAUUACAUUUACCAGUAAAUCUCAAAGCUAACUCAGUGCCUUCAAUAAAUGUCUAAAUGUCAUCUUCAUUUCCAUCGUAAAUGUCUAAAUCUCAUCCUCAUUUCUAUCAUUUACCAGUGAAGGACAUUUAUAAGCCCUGGGACACAAACAUCUGACAUUUCCGGCUGGGCCUCCUAAAAUCUCAAGAAUUGCAAAAAAUCAACAGAAAGUCACUACAAGCAAGCCUACUUCACAAGAGUGGAAAAGUGGACUAUGGAUCAGUUUGAUGCUUGGUCUGCUUGUAGCAAAUUUCACCAUCAUUCCUACAUAAGACAUGUCAAGAUGAGGAAAAAUGUAUUUCAGGUACCUGGGACUCCAAAACAGAACAUGCCAGCUUUUUCAAAUCCAGGGAAACUGUGUGUGUUGCACCCUCUUUCAAUGCUUUCAAAUAAACUUUGUAAAAAUAUUCA
Podarcis muralis (Common wall lizard) is the source of this 591-nucleotide non-coding RNA. Lineage: Eukaryota; Metazoa; Chordata; Lepidosauria; Squamata; Lacertidae. The record is from RefSeq and is a predicted model, not a curated record.